Molecule: non-coding RNA, 85 nt
Organism: Apis mellifera (honey bee)
Lineage: Eukaryota; Metazoa; Arthropoda; Insecta; Hymenoptera; Apidae
Source: Rfam
GGCAGGGUUAGCAGGCUGAUAUUGUCGGGCGGGGUGUGGAACAAGUAAGUCAUUUCGGCGAUGAGAUCAGCCUGUCGAACCCUGC